UGGGGAAUAUUGGACAAUGGGCGAAAGCCUGAUCCAGCCAUGCCGCGUGAGUGAUGAAGGCCUUAGGGUUGUAAAGCUCUUUUACCCGGGAAGAUAAUGACUGUACCGGGAGAAUAAGCCCCGGCUAACUUCGUGCCAGCAGCCGCGGUAAUACGAAGGGGGCUAGCGUUGCUCGGAAUCACUGGGCGUAAAGGGCGCGUAGGCGGCCGAUCAAGUCAGAGGUGAAAGCCCCAGGCUCAACCUGGGAAUUGCCUAUGAUACUGUUCGGCUGGAGACCGGAAGAGGUAAGUGGAACUGCGAGUGUAGAGGUGAAAUUCGUAGAUAUUCGCAAGAACACCAGUGGCGAAGGCGGCUUACUGGUCCGGUUCUGACGCUGAGGCGCGAAAGCGUGGGGAGCAAACA
This 402-nucleotide ribosomal RNA is filed under the name uncultured prokaryote. Its description in RNAcentral is "bacterial SSU rRNA". It matches the Rfam family "Bacterial small subunit ribosomal RNA", at positions 355 to 774 of the family's 1533-position model. The record is from RNAcentral.